RNAcentral lists this ribosomal RNA (1221 nucleotides) under human gut metagenome. Its description in RNAcentral is "bacterial LSU rRNA". It matches the Rfam family "Bacterial large subunit ribosomal RNA", at positions 1153 to 2405 of the family's 2925-position model. The record is from RNAcentral.
GAGGUCCUGCGCCGAAAAUGUCCGGGGCUAAAACACAACACCGAAGCUUAGGAAUUCUAAUGAAUUGGUAGAGGAGCAUUGAAGACGGAACGAAGCCAUACCGAAAGGAAUGGUGGACUGUCUUGAAGAGAGAAUGCCGGAAUGAGUAGCGAGAUUGAAGUGAGAAUCUUCAAGGCCGAAUAUCUAAGGUUUCCAGGGUAAAGCUGAUCUGCCCUGGGUAAGUCGGGGCCUAAGGCAAGGUCGAAAGACGUAGUCGAUGGAUAACAGGUUGAAAUUCCUGUACUGCAUCAAAUCAGAAAUGUGGGGACACAUGAGGGAAGCAUGAGCCGGAAAAGGAAAGUCCGGUACAAGCGCAGCAGAGGACAGAUAGGCAAAUCCGUCUGUCAACUCAAGGGCGCGAUGUGGAGCGAACCAAAGUAGCGAAGCAUGUGGAGCUUGUGUCGAGAAAAGCCGCUAUUGUGUUUGAUGUACCCGUACCGUAAACCGACACAGGUGGAUGAGGAGAGAAUCCUAAGGCCGGCGGGAGAAGCAUUGUUAAGGAACUCGGCAAAAUGACCCCGUAACUUCGGGAGAAGGGGUGCUCCAGAGAUGGAGCCGCAGAGAACUGGCCCAAGCAACUGUUUAGCAAAAACACAGGUCUAUGCAAAACCGAAAGGUGAGGUAUAUGGGCUGACGCCUGCCCGGUGCUGGAAGGUUAAGAGGAGAUGUCAGGAAACGAAGCAUUGAAUUUAAGCCCCAGUAAACGGCGGCCGUAACUAUAACGGUCCUAAGGUAGCGAAAUUCCUUGUCGGGUAAGUUCCGACCCGCACGAAAGGCGUAAUGAUUUGGGCACUGUCUCGACAAUGCACCCGGUGAAAUUGAAAUACCAGUGAAGAUGCUGGUUACCUGCGCCAGGACGGAAAGACCCCAUGGAGCUUUACUCUAGCUUGAUACUGGGGUUCGGUAUUGCAUGUACAGGAUAGGUGGGAGACUGAGAAGAUGUGUCGCCAGAUGCAUCAGAGUCGAUGUUGGGAUACCACCCCUGCAGUACUGGGCUUCUAACCUGCAGCCGUGACCCGGCUGGGGGACAAUGUCUGGUGGGGAGUUUGACUGGGGCGGUCGCCUCCGAAAGAGUAUCGGAGGCGCUCAAAGGUUCCCUCAGAAUGGUUGGAAACCAUUCGAAGAGCGCAAAGGCAGAAGGGAGCUUGACUGCGACACCGACGGGUGGAGCAGGUACGAAAG